Molecule: ribosomal RNA, 407 nt
Filed under: uncultured bacterium
Lineage: Bacteria
Description: partial 16S ribosomal RNA
Rfam family: Bacterial small subunit ribosomal RNA
Source: RNAcentral
AUUGAACGCUGGCGGCAGGCCUAACACAUGCAAGUCGAACGGAGCGGCGGACGGGUGAGUAAUGCCUAGGAAUCUGCCUGGUAGUGGGGGAUAACGUCAGGCAACGGGCGCUAAUACCGCAUACUAUCAGAUAAGCCUAGGUCGGAGUAGCUAGUUGGUGGGGUAAAGGCCUCCCAAGGCGACGAACCGUAACUGGGCUGAGAGGAUGAUCCGUCACACUGGAACGGAGACACGGUCCAGACUCCUACGGUAGGCAGCAGUGGGGAAUAUUGGACUAUGGGCGAAAGCCGGAUCCAGCCAUGCCGCGUGUGUGAAGAAGGUUUUCGGAUUGUAAAGCACUUUAAGUUGGGAGGCGUUACCAACAGAAUAAGCACCGGCUAACUUCGUGCCAGCCGCCGCGGUAAUUC